Long non-coding RNA from Sarcophilus harrisii (Tasmanian devil), 1305 nucleotides. The record is from Ensembl. NCBI's taxonomy places the organism in Eukaryota, Metazoa, Chordata, Mammalia, Dasyuromorphia, Dasyuridae.
UAUCAUAGCAUCUAAAUAGACAGAAGACCUGGUUGCUAGUAGAAACCCCAAGGCAAAAAGUCACAUAGCUUUGGUGCCUUUUACGUUAUGAAGGGUUUUUGUUAAAUGGGUAGAGAUUUUAGUUCUCUGAUGAAGGGAUUAUCUCAAUAAAACUGAUUGAACCUAAGACUGAGGACUUUGGAAUACUGAAUCAUGACUUAUAUAAAUCUAUAUAAAUCAAUUUCUCUGCCAGAAAAUGAAUAACCAACUUCAUUCAAAUGCCAGUUCAACAAUUACAAAGUCUGCUAGCGGUUAAUUAAAAGCUACCAUCUCAUUAUAUUCAGAGGUUCCAUGACUAAAGAAGCAGGACAAAUUUCCAUUGACAUGGUGGAUAUUAAAUGUCUGACAGACAAUGAAUUGCAACAACAGCUUAUCAAGCACGGAUAUAAUCCAGGGCCAAUAAUACCUUCUACAAGGCAGGUUUAUGAGGAUAAACUACAAGAAUUGAUAACACAACAUAAGGCUAAGAAGAAAAGCGAAGAACUAAAUCAGGAUCUGGAAUGUGAGGGAGAUAAAGAGGAUCUUGAUGAUCGCAUUUUGGAAAGAGCCAUCACAAGAUCAUCAAGAAGAAGUAAACAAUGCAAAAAAGAGAGUUGUGCACUUGAAAAACCUGCAAAACAAAAGAGUUUUAAAUUAGAACAGAGUGUCAGUCCUUUACUUCAAUGUGGCAGAAAGUUAUCUUCAGAUUAUUCCUCGAAUGGUGAUGUUGACAUCUUUUACGCUGAUCCCUCCUCUCACACAGGAAUAAGAACUUUUAUGGCAUGAAGAGACAUUUGAAAUGAUAACAUUAAUACCCAGAAUAAAUUCCCCAAAUCAACAAUUGGGAUUCCCAAUGAAAUUUGUGGAAAGAGAAAAAAGAAAAAGAAAAAACACCAAAACCCUCAUAACAAAUAUGUCAGGCAAAACAAAUUUCCACAUUGGCCAUGUCCAAAAAUGUGUGUCUUAUUCUACAUAUUUGUUUUUCACCUAAUUGAAGAGUAAUAUCAGGAGGUGAGCAAUAUGCUUUAUCAUGAGUUCUCUAAAAUCAUAGCUACUCAUGGUAUUGAUCAAAGUUCAUAGAUCUUUCAAAAUUGUAUGUUGAAUUGUUUUAUCUUUUUCUUUCUUACUGUACAACAGCAUUUCAUUUCAUUCGUAUGAUAUGCCAUAAUAUAUUCAGCCAUUGAUAUAUCCCUUUUUAAGUUCCAAUACUUUGACAAUACAAAAAGAAUGGUUAUUAAUAUUUUUAUGCAUAUGAAUCCUUCAUCUCUUUCCUGGUUUCUCUGAAAU